This 45-nucleotide non-coding RNA is filed under the name Trypanosoma brucei brucei. The record is from RNAcentral. Lineage: Eukaryota; Euglenozoa; Kinetoplastea; Trypanosomatida; Trypanosomatidae.
AAAACAAAAACAGAAAAACUGUCUAAGAUAGAGAAUGAUAUAUGU